RNAcentral lists this non-coding RNA (731 nucleotides) under Teloganodidae sp. MT-2014. The record is from RNAcentral. Lineage: Eukaryota; Metazoa; Arthropoda; Insecta; Ephemeroptera; Teloganodidae.
UAAAACCGUGGGGGUUAAAAUUUUAUUCCAGUUUUGUUAUUUUUUUUUAAGUAAUUUUACAUGUAAAUUUUUGUUACAUUUAAUAAGGAGAAUACAGUAAAUGAAUUUAAUAAUUGUCGAGGGACAGAAUUAGUAAACUUAAAGUUUCGGCCAAAUCUGUGCCAGCAUCCGCGGUUAUACAGGAGAAACAAAAAAUAUAUUAGGAGGAAAAAUAAUGAUUUACAAAAAAGAAUUACAUUUAAGGUGAAAUAAAAUGAAUUAAAAAAAUACUGACCAUUUAGAAACCCUAGUAAUAAACCGGGAUUAGAUACCCCGCUAUCAGGACGUUUGACAGGGUAGUAGGAUUAAAUUCUGAAACUUAAAGAAUUUGGCGGUGAUUCAUCUAACCAGAGGAAUUUGUCCUGUAAUAGAUACUCCGCGGUAAACAUUACCUCAGUUAAUAAGUUUGUAUACCUCCGUCGUAAGGAUAUAUUUAAAAAUUAUAUCCUUAAUUUUUAAGAAAGAAAGUCAGGUCAAGGUGCAGCAUAUACUGAGGAAGAGAUGACUUACAAUAAACUUAUUUAUAACGAAAUUAAAAUGAAAAAUUUUAAGGAAGGUGGAUUUGGCUGUAUUAUUUUUGAAUAAAAGUAGGAUAUAAGCUCUGAAUCAUGUACACAUUGCCCGUCGCUCUUGUUAGAAAAUAAGAUAAGUCGUAACAGAGUAGGAAUACCGGAAGGUGUUCCUAGAAUGAC